RNAcentral lists this ribosomal RNA (3123 nucleotides) under Triticum aestivum (bread wheat). Its description in RNAcentral is "partial small subunit ribosomal RNA". The record is from RNAcentral. Lineage: Eukaryota; Viridiplantae; Streptophyta; Magnoliopsida; Poales; Poaceae.
AUGGAGAUGAAACCCAAAAGAUUUUCGUUGGGGCGUAACCCUCUCAGCGACGCGCCACAUCGGAACCCGGGUGUGGUGGAAAAUGGGCAAGGGCCGGGCCGUCACCCCCCAAGUGGCGCGCCGUAUCUUGAUCCGGAUACGGUGGCAAGUGAGCGAGGAUCGGGUCGUCGCAUCCUUAGUGGCGCGCUACAUCGGCGCCCGGAUGUAGUGGAAAAUGAGCAAGGGUCUUUGCAUUUGACUCGACGAGUGCGAAGGGUAAGGAAGCUAGCCGAGCCUAGGAGGAUUCGCUUAGGUAGCUGGAACGUAGGGUCUCUGACAGGAAAGCUUCGGGAGCUAGUUGAUGCAGCAGUGAGGAGAGGUGUUGAUAUCCUUUGCGUCCAAGAAACCAAAUGGAGAGGACAGAAGGCGAAGGAGGUGGAGGAUACCGGCUUCAAGCUGUGGUACACGGGGACGGCUGCAAACAGAAAUGGCGUAGGCAUCUUGAUCAACAAGAGCCUCAAGUAUGGAGUGGUAGACGUCAGGAGACGUGGGGACCGGAUUAUCCUGGUCAAGCUGGUAGCUGAGGACUUGGUUCUCAAUGUUAUCAGCGCAUAUGCCCCGCAAGUAGGCCACAAUGAGAACACCAAGAGGGAGUUCUGGGAAGGCUUGGAAGACAUGGUUAGGAGUGUACCGAUUGGUGAGAAGCUCUUCAUAGGAGGAGACCUCAAUGGCCACGUGGGUACAUCUAACAUAGGUUUUGAAGGGGCGCAUGGGGGCUUUGGCUAUGGCAUCAGGAAUCAAGAAGGAGAAGAUGUCUUAAGCUUUGCUCUAGCCUACAACAUGAUUGUAGCUAACACCCUCUUUAGAAAGAGAGAAUCACAUCUGGUGACUUUUAGUAGUGGCCAACACUCUAGCCAGAUUGAUUUCAUCCUCUCGAGAAGAGAAGAUAGGCGUGCGUGCCUAGACUGUAAGGUGAUACCUGGGGAGAGUGUUGUACCCCAGCAUAAGCUGGUGGUUGCUGACUUCCGCUUUCGGAUUCGUGUCCAGCGGGAUAAGCGUGCCAAGGUCGCUAGAACGAAGUGGUGGAAGCUCAAGGGGGGGGUAGCUCAGGUGUUCAAGGAGAGGGUAUUUAAGGAGGGCCCUUGGGAGGAAGGAGGGGAUGCGGACAAUGUGUGGAUGAAGAUGGCGACUUGCAUUCGUAAGGUGGCCUCGGAGGAGUUUGGAGUGUCCAGGGGAAGGAGAAGCGAAGAUAACGAUACCUGGUGGUGGAAUGAUGAUGUCCAGAAGGCGCUUAAAGAGAAGAAAGAUUGCUUCAGACGCCUAUACCUGGAUAGGAGUGCAGACAACAUAGAGAAGUACAAGAUGGCGAAGAAGGCCGCAAAGCGAGCUGUUGGUGAAGCACGGGGUCGGGCAUAUGAGGACCUCUACCAACGGUUAGGCACGAAGGAAGGUGAAAGGGACAUCUAUAAGAUGGCUAAGAUCCGGGAGAGGAAGACGAGGGAUAUUGGCCAAGUCAAAUGCAUCAAGGACGGAGCAGGCCAACUCUUGGUGAAGGACGAAGAGAUUAAGCAUAGAUGGCGGGAGUACUUCGACAAGCUGUUCAAUGGGGAGAAUGAGAGUUCUACCAUUGAACUGAAUGACUCCUUUGAUGAGACCAGCAUGCGUUUUGUGCGGCGCAUCCAGGAGUCUGAGGUGAAGGAGGCUUUAAAAAGGAUGAAAGGAGGCAAGGCGAUGGGCCCUGAUUGUAUCCCCAUUGAGGUGUGGAAAGGUCUCGGGGACGUAGCGAUAGUAUGGCUAACCAAGCUUUUCAACCUCAUUUUUCGGGCAAACAAGAUGCCAGAAGAAUGGAGACGGAGUAUAUUAGUACCAAUCUUCAAGAACAAGGGGGAUGUUCAGAGUUGUACUAAUUACCAUGGAAUUAAGCUGAUGAGCCAUACAAUGAAGCUAUGGGAGAGAGUCAUUGAGCACCGCUUAAGAAGAAUGACAAGCGUGACCAAAAAUCAGUUUGGUUUCAUGCCUGGGAGGUCGACCAUGGAAGCCAUUUUCUUGGUACGACAACUUAUGGAGAGAUAUAGGGAGCAUAAGAAGGACUUGCAUAUGGUGUUCAUUGACUUGGAGAAGGCCUAUGAUAAGAUACCGCGGAAUGUCAUGUGGUGGGCCUUGGAGAAACACAAAGUCCCAGCAAAGUACAUUACCCUCAUCAAGGACAUGUACAAUAAUGUUGUGACAAGUGUUCGAACAAGUGAUGUCGACACCGAUGACUUCCCGAUUAAGAUAGGACUGCAUCAGGGGUCAGCUUUGAGCCCUUAUCUUUUUGCAUUGGUGAUGGAUGAGGUCACAAGGGGUAUACAAGGAGAUAUCCCAUGGUGUAUGCUCUUUGCGAAUGAUGUGGUGCUAGUUGACGAUAGUCGGACGGGGGUAAAUAGGAAGUUAGAGUUAUGGAGACAAACCUUGGAAUCGAAAGGGUUUAGGCUUAGUAGAACUAAAAUCGAGUACAUGAUGUGCGGUUUCAGUACUACUAGCUGUGAGGAGGAGGAGGUUAGCCUUGAUGGCCAGGUGGUACCUCGGAAGGACACCUUUCGGUAUUUGGGGUCAAUGUUGCAGGAGGAUGGGGGUAUUGAUGAAGAUGUGAACCAUCGAAUCAAAGCCGGAUGGAUGAAGUGGCGCCAAGCUUCUGGCAUUCUCUGUGACAAGAGAGUGCCACAAAAGCUAAAAGGCAAGUUCUACAGGAUGGCGGUUCGACCCGCAAUGUUGUAUGGCACGGAGUGUUGGCCGACUAAAAGGCGACAUGUUCAACAGUUAGGUGUGGCGGAGAUGCGUAUGUUGAGAUGGAUGUGUGGCCACACGAGGAAGGAUCGAGUCCGGAAUGAUGAUAUACGAGAUAGAGUUGGGGUAGCACCAAUUGAGGAGAAGCUUGUCCAACAUCGUUUGAGAUGGUUUGGGCAUAUUCAGCGCAGGCCUCCAGAAGCUCCAGUGCAUAGCGGACGGCUAAAGCGUGCGGAGAAUGUCAAGAGAGGGCGGGGUCGACCGAUUUUGACAUGGGAGGAGUCCGUUAAGAGAGACCUGAAGGAUUGGAGUAUCGACAAAGAGCUAGCUAUGGACAGGGGUGCGUGGAAGCUUGCUAUCCAUGUGCCAGAGCCAUGA